RNAcentral lists this ribosomal RNA (446 nucleotides) under uncultured bacterium. RNAcentral's name for it is "partial 16S ribosomal RNA". It matches the Rfam family "Bacterial small subunit ribosomal RNA", at positions 354 to 796 of the family's 1533-position model. The record is from RNAcentral.
GUAGGGAAUAUUGGACAAUGGGGGGAACCCUGAUCCAGCCAUGCCGCGUGGAGGAAGACUGCCCUCUGGGUUGUAAACUCCUUUUAUAUGGGAAGAACCGUCCUCAUUAAUGAGUGACCUGACGGUACCAUAGGAAUAAGCACCGGCUAACUCCGUGCCAGCAGCCGCGGUAAUACGGAGGGUGCAAGCGUUAUCCGGAUUCACUGGGUUUAAAGGGUGCGUAGGCGGAUAAAUAAGUCAGUGGUGAAAUCAACGGGCUCAAACUGUUAACUGCCAUGGAUACUGUGUAUCUUGAAUAUGAGAGAGGGAGGCGGAAUGUUGCAUGUAGCGGUGAAAUGCUUAGAUAUGCUACGGAACACCGAUUGCGAAGGCAGCUUACUAUUUCGUAAUUGACGCUGAGGCACGAAAGCGUGGGUAGCGAACAGGAUUAGAAACCCUAGUAGUCC